This 252-nucleotide ribosomal RNA is filed under the name uncultured prokaryote. RNAcentral describes it as "partial 16S ribosomal RNA". It matches the Rfam family "Bacterial small subunit ribosomal RNA", at positions 524 to 775 of the family's 1533-position model. The record is from RNAcentral.
CACGUAGGGUGCAAGCGUUGUCCGGAAUCAUUGGGCGUAAAGAGCUCGUAGGCGGUUUGUCGCGUCUGCUGUGAAAACGCGGGGCUCAACUCCGCGCCUGCAGUGGGUACGGGCAGACUAGAGUGCAGUAGGGGAGACUGGAAUUCCUGGUGUAGCGGUGGAAUGCGCAGAUAUCAGGAGGAACACCGGUGGCGAAGGCGGGUCUCUGGGCUGUAACUGACGCUGAGGAGCGAAAGCGUGGGUAGCGAACAG